GAUGAACGCUAGCGACAGGCCUAACACAUGCAAGUCGAGGGGCAGCACAUGAGUAGCAAUACGAUGGUGGCGACCGGCGCACGGGUGAGUAACACGUAUGCAACCUGCCUGUAAGAGGGGAAUAACCCGGAGAAAUUCGGACUAAUACCGCAUAAUACCACGAGACUGCAUGGUUUUGUGGUUAAACAUUUAUGGCUUACAGAUGGGCAUGCGUAUGAUUAGAUAGUUGGUAGGUAACGGCCUACCAAGUCUACGAUCAUUAGGGGUUCUGAGAGGAAGGUCCCCAACUGGUACUGAGACACGGACCAGACUCCUACGGGAGGCAGCAGUGAGGAAUAUUGGUCAAUGGGCAGAGCCUGAACCGCCAAGUCGCGUGAAGGAGAAGGUUCUAUGGAUUGUAAACUUCUUUUGCAGGGGAAUAAAGGACGGUACGUGUACUGUUUGUAUGUACCUUGCGAAUAGGAUCGGUAACUCCGUGCCAGCAGCCGAC
Molecule: ribosomal RNA, 490 nt
Filed under: uncultured bacterium
Lineage: Bacteria
Description: bacterial SSU rRNA
Rfam family: Bacterial small subunit ribosomal RNA
Source: RNAcentral